UCGAAACAUUACAUAUCGACCUGCCAGA
Molecule: small RNA, 28 nt
Filed under: Bombyx mori (domestic silkworm)
Lineage: Eukaryota; Metazoa; Arthropoda; Insecta; Lepidoptera; Bombycidae
Description: ovarian small RNA-28128
Source: RNAcentral